RNAcentral lists this small RNA (470 nucleotides) under Pongo abelii (Sumatran orangutan). Its description in RNAcentral is "processed transcript". The record is from RNAcentral. Lineage: Eukaryota; Metazoa; Chordata; Mammalia; Primates; Hominidae.
CGGAGGCGCCAUUGCGUGGAGCUCAUAGCAUUGACCUGACAGGAAGCGGGGCCGCCAGACCUACACGCGCUACCAGACGCUGGAGCUGGAGAAGGAGUUCCACUUCAACCGCUACCUGACGCGGCGCCGCCGCAUUGAAAUCGCCCACGCGCUCUGCCUCACCGAGCGCCAGAUUAAGAUCUGGUUCCAGAACCGCCGCAUGAAGUGGAAGAAAGAGCAUAAGGACGAAGGUCCGACUGCCGCCGCAGCUCCCGAGGGCGCCGUGCCCUCUGCUGCCGCCACCGCUGCCGUGGACAAGGCCGACGAGGAGGACGAUGAUGAAGAAGAGGAAGACGAGGAGGAAUGAGGGGCCGAUCCGGGGCCCUCGCUGCACCGGACAGUCGGAAAACGUCUUUAAGAGACUCACUGGUUUUACUUACAAAAAUGGGAAAAAUAAAAGAAAAUGUAAAAACAACAACAACAACAAAAAA